GACGAACGCUGGCGGCGUGCCUGACACAUGCAAGUCGGACGGUUCUUGUAUCUUCAAGCUUGCUUGCAGGUGCAAGGAUAGUGGCGGACGGGUGAGUAACGCGUGAACAUCUACCCAUUGGAGGGGGACAACCCGUCGAAAGGCGGGCUAAUACCGCGUAAGCCGCGAGGUGAGAGGCUGCCUAUUGGUGGCCGCCGAUGGAUGGGUUCGCGUCCUAUCAGCUGGUUGGUGGGGUAACGGCCUACCAAGGCGAAGACGGGUAGCCGGUCUGAGAGGAUGGCCGGCCACACUGGAACUGAGACACGGUCCAGACUCCUACGGGAGGCAGCAGUGGGGAAUAUUCGGCAAUGGGGGAAACCCUGACCGAGCAAUGCCGCGUGAAUGAAGAAGGUCUUCGGACUGUAAAAUUCUGUUAUUUGUGGAAGAAAGGUAGUUGGAGGAAAUGCCAAUUACUUGACGGUACCAAAUGAGAAAGCCCCGGCUAACUAUGUG
RNAcentral lists this ribosomal RNA (492 nucleotides) under uncultured bacterium. RNAcentral describes it as "bacterial SSU rRNA". It matches the Rfam family "Bacterial small subunit ribosomal RNA", at positions 28 to 507 of the family's 1533-position model. The record is from RNAcentral.